GGGGCGGUAAGGCUCAGGCAUGGCGGGCUGCAGGUCCUGAUCCCUGCCCGGCGGGGAGGCAGCUAAGGCCUGGCGAGAAAUCGAGCACAGCAGCUGCUGGCCCAGGUGCUAAGCCCCUCACUGCCCGGGAUCGGCGGGGCUGGCCGGCAGCUCCCAGUGCGGGGCCCUCCGAGCCCACGCCCCACCGGGAACUCCCGCUGGCUCGCAAGCGCCGGGCGCAGCCCCAGUUCCCGCCCGCGCCUCUCCCUCCUCACCUCCCAGCAAGCUGAGGGAGCCGGCUCCGGCCUCGGCCAGCCCAGGAAGGGACUCCCACAGUGCAGCGGCGGGCUGAAGGGCUCCUCAAGUGCCGCCGGAGUGGGCGCCCAGGCAGAGGAGGCGCCCAGAGCGAGCGAGGACUGCGAGGACUUGCCAGCACGCUGUCACCUCUCACUUCCAGAACUAGCCACAUCUCUAAGGAGCUCUCAUUCCUGUUAAUGAAGAAUGAUAUUUACAAACCAAAAUCCAGGAACUAGGUUUAGGAGCAAGAUAAUGGAAUAGAAGCCUACAACAUUUGCUCUCCGACCCCACUGGAAAACCAAAUGACUCUUGGGUUUCCUGACACCAGGCCUAGGUGGUGGGACAGCAUUUCUGGACCUGCCCUGGGAAAGAAGGGAGCUUAACAGUCCUGAAAGGACAGACUAGUUCUCCGUCCCUUGCAGCUCAUGGGCUGAGUUCUGACCAAUGGGAUGUAGACAGAGAUGAUGCGCAAUCUUGAAAGAAUUCCUACUCCUCACCUUCCCUUUGGAUCGCCAGCUGAACCAAAGUUACAUGACUUUUCAAAGCAUCU
This 826-nucleotide long non-coding RNA is filed under the name Homo sapiens (human). Its description in RNAcentral is "HSALNT0281398". Lineage: Eukaryota; Metazoa; Chordata; Mammalia; Primates; Hominidae. The record is from RNAcentral.